Phasianus colchicus (ring-necked pheasant) is the source of this 3441-nucleotide non-coding RNA. The record is from RefSeq and is a predicted model, not a curated record. NCBI's taxonomy places the organism in Eukaryota, Metazoa, Chordata, Aves, Galliformes, Phasianidae.
GUGAAAUGAACAGAAUCAUAAAGUCAGGCUGGCUUGGAGAACAAAAACAGCAGCACAGCCUGCACUGAUGGGAUAAGAGCAUACCAAGAAUGGAGAAAUGCUGGGAGCUAUUGGCAAUUCAACACAGAGCAAGUACAGAAUGCAGAUCUCUGAUAUGCAGACUAAGGUGAAAGCAGUAAGUGAGGAAGGUUCCUGCGUUGCAAAAGAGGAGGGGUUCCUGGGUAGUGAGCUGAAGCGACGGAGAACCAGCUUCAGAGGAAGAUGCAUGAAAGAGGCAAAGACUUCAUGUUAAGCCUGGCACCUUCUUAGGCUGGUGAGUGGUGAAAUUCAAUGUUCAUCUUUCCAUAACCUGCGGGACGUUCUUUUUCUCAGAAUAAAAAAGAAGGGAAAAACAGCAUUAGAUAGACUUAGGAGGGAAGGAGCAGCUACACUAAACUAACUUGAAUUUGUACAGAUGCUUGCAAAUCAUAGAUUUUCUUAAAUCUUUCAUGGAAACAUACUGUACAGUUUGUAUAAUGCCUAAAAUCUCAGAUAUCGCUUUGCCACAGAUUUCACAUGAGAAGUUUGUUCUACACUGAUAGGAUUUCAGACUCCUCUGAGGAGAUAAUUUGUACCUAACUUAACUAAUGCUUGAUUUUUACACAGAGAUCAUUUUAUGCAGUGAUCAUUCACUGCUUUCAACAGUCCAAACUGGAAAGGCCCAUUACAAAAUUUAUCAGUAAGAUAGCAGUGUCACAGGAGAGUAGUAAUUGCUUUGAACAACAACAGGAAAAGCAAAUAACCCAAAAAACGUCAAAUUUCUUCAAAAUGCAGGGAGUCAGCUUCAUGUGGAAGCAUAUUUCUUAUCAUCAGGUGCUUUUCUUAUAUUCAGUUCUAGACUUUGCUUUAAAAGUGCUUUUCAAUUCCAUUCCUCUAUUUGAAAUAUACUCACCCAAAUAUCUGAACUGCCAUUUCCCAAGGAAGAUCAGAGCCUGUGGCAGUGCAAUAAAGUUGAUCUUUGAUGUUAGGGGCAUCAGGAGCAACAUCAUGGUGUAGAAAUAAUGAGCUACGAGGGCAGCUAUUUUUUUUCAGGCACUGAUGCUGAGUGAGGUAUCCUAGUGCAGGAUGAGGGCAUGCUGCCUUCCAGUGAAUGCAUCUACCAGACUUUAGGCUCACCUGCAGUGAUGCUGGCUGCAAAGGCAUUUAGCAUUAAUUGGCCACAUGCGGUGUGUGAAAGAUGUUGAGUUGUGUGAUGAAAGCUGAUAGAUAAAUGUAGAGUGAACAAACAAAAGCAUUUUACUGGAGUAUUAUGAGGCAACUGAAAUAACUCAAGUAAUGCUGUAUGUUCAGGCAAGGAAGCCUCCUGGAUGAAGUAAUACCCUGUAGCAGUGCAUGUAGAAUCAUAGAAUCUUUUGAAAUGGGAAGGAUGCUCAAAGGCCAUCUAGUCUAGCUCCCCUGCAACGAACAGCAAAGUGCACAGCUAUAUCAGGGUGCUCAGAGCCUGGUCCAGCCUGACCUUGAAAGUCUCCAGGAAGGGGACAUCCACCACAUCACUGAGCAGCCUGUGCCAGUGCCUCACCACUGUCACUGGAAAAGACUUUUUUCUUAUAACUAACUGAAAUCUCCUCUCUUUACAUUUGAAACCAUUUCCCCUUGUCCUGUCAUCUCAGAUGCUGCUCCCCUUCUUAAAGCUCCCCUUUAGAUCCUGACAGGCCGCUUGCAGCCUCCUCUUCUCCAGGCUGAACAGCCCCAGCUCUCUCAGUCUGUCCUCCUGGGUGAGAUGUCCCAUCCUUUGGAUCAUUUUUGUGGCCCUCUUCUAGAUGCACUCAAAGGAUUUUUCAAGUAUUUCACUUCAAUUUGUAUGUAUGUAAGGGUACAUUCAGAGGUUUCUUUUUUAAUAAUUAAUAAUAUAUAUCUUUUUAAUAUGGACACAUCUUAUGCUUCUAAGGCCUUAUGCCCUGGGAUAGAAUCCUACUCUUGGCUUACCUUUUGAGCGUGUGUCCCACUGCCAUUACCAGCUUCUCGUGUUAAAGCUUCUCAGGUGCAGAGUCUGCUUGCAAUGAUGUGGUUUUAGGACGUGUUUGUUUUUUCCCAAGAGCUGAUGGGCUGCUGUCAUUCCAGGCAUCCCUUAAAUGUUCAGCUGGAUGAUGAGAUGAGCACCUGUCUGUUUCCACAGUUUGCAUAAUUUGUAUUUCUGUAGGUGGUGCAGUACACAAUUCUUGGAGGUGUGUGUGAAACGGUCCUGAAUGAUGAGGGAGUGCUGGAAAAAACAGAUGAGAAGUUCCAGCUGUUUCUACUGCCAUUUAAUUUUUAAACAUGGAUGGACAAGGGAGAGAAUAGCAAGGGGAGGGAGAAGAAAGGAUUUGGGGAUUGCAAAUGUUUCCGUGCCAGUAACGUGCUAUUUUUCAGCUCCAAAAGAACUCUCUGUAAUGCGGAAAUGAAGUGGUUUACCCAGCAGAAAAUAAGUGUUGCUGCUGUAUUGUUUUUGGCAGGAGUUGGUGGUUCAUCAUUUGGACACAUCAGAUGAGCUCAGAUGAACUUUGGUACUUGCAUUCGCUUGCUCUGCGAUUGGAUCACGUGAACCCAAACCCGUGGGGCUCUGAAACGAGAGCAGCAGUAAAAGAUGAAGAUUGCAGUAAGGUAGAAAGGAUGUAUGUUUUGUCGAUAGAUCGCUCUGGUUUUGAUGUUGCGAGCAUAAAAUUGUAAAGAUGAAGUGUAAAGAAGGCAUUUUCAACACUAUGUUGCAGAAAUAGAUGAUGUGAAUCUUACUGUUUGGUUUAUGACUAUGCAAUAUUGCUUUCAGACACUUGUUGGUCUGUGGUCUGCUAUGGCAGGCAUGUCCAACCCAUGGCCCAGCACAUCUCACAUUGUGGCUGCCCCUGCUCUACGCCAUCAUGGCAGCAGCUCUUCCUGCCUUGUGCCCAGCGCCAACCAAACACUGGUGUGCUGUGAAUCACUUCUGGGCUGAGACCAGGGCACGGGGAGGGAGCAAUGCAGUGCCGACUCUUAUGGUAAGCUUACGGCAAAUAAGUUUUAGAGCUUUGGCUAAGUCCUGUGAGCAGUGAAAAAUGUGCAGCCAUGCUUUCUAUUUUGAUAAAGGAAUUUGAGUUUGAAGAUUGCUGAAAAAAUCAUCAAUUUUUUUGUUAAUUUACAACUCUAUUUUCAGUCUACAAAAAUACAUUAUCUGUGAAUUUUCAAAUGGAAUAUUUUAUCUCUUCACCAAACUCUUGUAAGUCCUCUCUUUCCAGAGGGAAACAUCCCUCAGUUUAUGAUCACACCUCAUUCAUGUCCUCGCUUCUUGGCAGUGCGUGCAUUUGUGAACAACUGUUUUGAAGGAUGAAGCACAGGAAGAGUAAAAUUUUAACCAAAUUCUCUACUCUAAGAAUUGUAGUCACUGCUAUUGAACCAGCCUGAUGCAUUGAUUUCACAAAGUAAAAUAUCCCACUAGUUUUAUGUUUUUUG